UAUAUUUUUUUUAAAGAAGAUUAUGGAAGAGUGUGGUGCCCUUCCUAUUCUUGCCUACAUGAUCAUGGAAGGAAGGAAGUUUCUCAGGAAGUCAGAUGAACUGGGGAGACAUAGUCACCUGAGGAAUCAGACAUGAACCCAGUGUUCAUAAAUCUGGUGGUUCCUGUAUGGUGUGUAACCAACCCAGAUUCCAUUGGCAAUGACAGACCUGCGUGGCAGCUGUCUGAAGAGACUGUCCAUCAAGGCAAUGAGUAGUUGCCAAACUGGCAGAGAGAAUGACAUCAUCUGUCCUGUAAGGGAUGUACAUGUUGAGAGAGACUAGCAUGUUCAGAAGACUUUGUCCUAAGCUCUGAUCUUGAGACUCUGUGUUAAAACAUGUUACAAAACAUACACUCCAUCUGUGAUGCAGAAACAAAACGAGAUUGGGCUCGUGCUAUAUCCAUCUGAGAAUUAGGAAUGUAACACAUCAUUUGAAGGAAUAUUGGCUUUCUUUGUAGGCCGCAAGGAGAGGUUUGGCUCCUUUAAGAAAUGGCUUCCUGGUUUGUACUGGCAGCAUGAGCUGCUCUGGAUCUUUUGGGAAGUCCUUCUACAGAGCAUUUAGGGUUGUGAGCAGAGUGCUACAAGUUUCUUAAUGGGGCCAUGGACCCAUUGUGUCUCUAGAGCUAGAAUGGUGAGCAUGGCUCACAGAGCUGAAGGAAAACAUACCUCUGCCAUACUGAAAAACCAAGAGAAGUAGGGCCAGCAUCCAUGGCUGCUGCAACCAAGCUGCUUACCAUUUGAAAAGAGCUGCUGGUCAAAAAAUGAUUACAGAUAUGCAAUAAAGACAGAUCCAGACAGAAAUAAAGCUCUGAAUGGGUCAUGGUGUGCUUAAAAAUAUACAUAGACUUGGGGAGGAGAGGAAAAAAGUGUAGACAGUUACAAAAUAAAUAAUUUUAAAAAUAAAAAAUCUUUAGAGAGACAGUAACAGCAAUGUAAAAGAGUACAGACAGUCAUAGAUUAAAGGAGUAAAGAAAAAAUAAGCCAUGCAGUGAUGGAAUAUACACAGAGUCUGGAUUAUUGUGUUUUCUUUGAAGUUUUUGACUGCAGAGAGACAUUUGAUUCUGGGGACUGCUAAACUAAACCAACACACACACACACACACACACA
Alexandromys fortis (reed vole) is the source of this 1146-nucleotide long non-coding RNA. RefSeq lists it as uncharacterized. The transcript is spliced from 5 exons. The record is from RefSeq and is a predicted model, not a curated record. Lineage: Eukaryota; Metazoa; Chordata; Mammalia; Rodentia; Cricetidae.